GACGAACGCUGGCGGCGUGCUUAACACAUGCAAGUCGAACGGAAAGGCCCUGCUUUUGUGGGGUGCUCGAGUGGCGAACGGGUGAGUAACACGUGAGUAACCUGCCCUUGACUUUGGGAUAACUUCAGGAAACUGGGGCUAAUACCGGAUAGGAGCUCCUGCUGCAUGGUGGGGGUUGGAAAGUUUCGGCGGUUGGGGAUGGACUCGCGGCUUAUCAGCUUGUUGGUGGGGUAGUGGCUUACCAAGGCUUUGACGGGUAGCCGGCCUGAGAGGGUGACCGGCCACAUUGGGACUGGGAUACGGCCCAGACUCCUACGGGAGGAAGCAGUGGGAAUAUUGCACAAUGGGCGGAAGUCUGAUGCAGCAACGCCGCGUGCGGGAUGACGGCCUUCGGGUUGUAAACCGCUUUCGCCUGUGACGAAGCGUGAGUGACGGUAAUGGGUAAAGAAGCACCGGCUAACUACGUG
Molecule: ribosomal RNA, 467 nt
Filed under: uncultured bacterium
Lineage: Bacteria
Description: partial 16S ribosomal RNA
Rfam family: Bacterial small subunit ribosomal RNA
Source: RNAcentral